This 242-nucleotide long non-coding RNA is filed under the name Prunus persica (peach). RNAcentral describes it as "long non-coding RNA (PPER_LNC002263)". Lineage: Eukaryota; Viridiplantae; Streptophyta; Magnoliopsida; Rosales; Rosaceae. The record is from RNAcentral.
UGGGUUUUGAGUGAAAUCCAAUUUCUAAAACUAUGCAAAACACCAACCACUCCAUUUCAGAAUUAACUUCGUACGAACCUGAAUUGUCCAAUUUGAUGGACCAAUCGAUAUAGGAUUGAGUCCAGAACUUGGGGAACAAGAUAAUGUGGUGGGAGGAGUCAUUUGGUAGGUUAUGAGUGAAAUUCAAUAGCAAGAACCAUGUAAUACACCAACCACUCCAUUUCAGAACGAAGUCUGUGCGA